RNAcentral lists this long non-coding RNA (3771 nucleotides) under Sus scrofa (pig). RNAcentral describes it as "lncRNA (ENSSSCG00055023787.1)". The record is from RNAcentral. Lineage: Eukaryota; Metazoa; Chordata; Mammalia; Artiodactyla; Suidae.
AGCUCUCAGGGAGCUGGGAGCUCAUCCCCAAACCCCUAAUUAACAGCAGUCAGAUGCAGUGGAGUGUGCGUGAGGACGUGUUGGGAGAAAGAGGAUGAGGGAUUUAGGACGGGCUGGGGUGGUCUGGUCUCCGCUAGGCUGAGCGGGUCUGCGAGGGUGGUGGGUGUGGAACGGGAGCCCUCCCCAGCCUGAAUUUUAAAGUCGGAGGAGCAGAGGAUGCGGUCAGCUCAAAGCAACUGCCCGUCUUCUGCGGCUUCACCUGCGCGCGCCGGAUCUGGCGGCUCCCAUUUCCACGUCUCCAUGGCAACAGAGGAGUAAAGACAUUCACUCAGUCAGAAUGCUGGGCUGACAAGGGCCAGGCAAACGUUUCAUUCCUGUUUUUGGAACGGGGGUGGGAGUGUCCAUUUUCGUGCCAAGAGCCAGAUUUUGUUCUGGAGAUCUGGGAAGCAGCGGCUACUUCAUCAGGCAAAAUCACCGCCCAUGACCUGGGGGAGCAGAGAGUGGCCCUCCUGGGGAGGAGGAAAGAUCCAGAAAAUCCCCUCUCUGCCGGGGAGAGCGAAAAGGGGAAAGACACUCAGAAACAUCCAAGGUUAUUGUUUGUCUGAGCUGAGCUCAGUUGUGUUUCAGCAAAAGACACACACCCUCUCCUCCCCGGACCUCAGCGCUGCCCCAGCCCAUGGACUCCUGGCUCUCUCACCCGCUUGCUCAUUCUUUCCCUUUCUGCCUCACCCCCCCCCCCCCCCCCCCCAAGAAGGGCCGUCUUUUCUCUUUGAUGUGCACUGCUGAAUCACAGCAAAUAAUGUCACACAACGUUUUCUCUGGAGACCAGUGCUCUGAGCCCUGAUUUUAUGCAGAUGGAGUCACAAUGCAUCACACUUCAAAAUGAUUCUAAGUUUAAUUUCCCCAAGAUAAAACAAUGAAAGAAAGAUACAUAUGGAGGAAGAAUCCCAUCCUUAGGGCCACUAAACGUGCCCAGGAUCUGGGAUGCUUGUCACUCUGUCCCCUUACCUGCAGCUACAUCGUGCUCAUAAUCCUUAGAUGUCGCUCCUUUGCUGAAGAGUGUCAUUGCCCACACUGCAGAAACUGCAUCGCUGGCCUGAAACGUGCUUGCCAGAGGGUAGCUUAUUCCACAGGCUUAGAACUAGGUCAUCAGGACCGCCUGAGGGCAAGCUAUGUAAAUGAACGUGCUGCAGGACACGGAAAUGUGAUAAUACAUUUUCCCAAACUUCUUGAAAAGUAAUAUCUUGUAAGCAUCUCAGUAUGGCAGUUCAUGAGUUUGGUAGAUGUAUUUGGAUGCUAUCAAUGCAGAGGCACUCACUCCCCAGCCUGGGCUGUCGUGUCCCACAGCCAAGUUCACCUCCGACCUGCAAAGACCAGUGUUGUCCUCACUUUGCGGGUGAUGCGUGAGGGGACGUGGCUGGUGAGGUCAGGUGGAGGUGGGUCUCGGGCUCGCUGUCCUGUGCUCUCCCACCUCUGCACACCUUGGCACAGGUGCCUGCCCGACUAGCAGAAGAGACUCUCCAGCAGAAGCUUUGUUUGGCGGUGGCAAGGUUUCCUCCCACAAUCCUGUUCUAGAAGCCCAGUAGGGAAGGAGGUUGUCAGUGGAGUCGUGGUUGAGUGAGUGGUGGGGGACAAAGCCUUUUCAUUCUCCUCUCUCCUCCCUCUUGAGUGAUCACCUGGCCGUGUGGACUCUGCUUGAGAACUGCCCCUGACAGCAUCCUCUUAGGCGGUUCGUUUGGGGUCUGUUUGAAGUUUCCUGCGGAGUCCAGCCCUGCCUUUGGUCUUUGAGUACUUACAUAGUGCAAAGCCCUGUGCCAGACCUGCCAGCCUCCCACCAGGUGGAUGACAGCUUGGGAGGUUCUCAGGGCUGCCCGCUCUGCAGUGUGGGGAGCGGUGGCGUCGGAUGGAUGGACUGGGCUCCUGGAUGCCCCCAGCUGUUUAAUGCACCAGGUCUCCCGCUGACCUCUCUGUGGGAUGAGUCCUCAGACAGCAUCCUUGGGAACUGUUGUCAGCUUUUUAGCUAUGAUAAUCAUGUUGUGCACAUACUAAAUAAAAGAGCCUGUAUAUUUUAGUGGUAUAUGCCAAAGUAUCUACAGAUGCGCAGAUAAAAUUAUUACAGAAUUAUCCAGGGAGGGGGUGUAGAUGUGGUAAUAGAUGAAACAGUCAUUUUGUUGACCCUGGGUAAUGAGUGCAUUGUUAUAUCUUUCUACUUAGGACAGCUUUGAAAUUUUCCAAAAGUUUAAAAUACGCAGAUAUAUUAUAGAUAAAUAGACAAACAUACAGGAAAAAAAAAUCUGUGUUGGGGCUUGCCUCAAGAUCACCCACUUUGCUUCUCUCAGUUUGUCCAUUCUGCUGCUCUCUGGCAGAGUCUCAUCCUUUCCCUGGGGUAGGUGAAGUCUUUGGACUUGCUUCUCUAAUGUGUUGACUAGGAUUCCACCCCUACUGGCAGCUUUGCCUGUACCUUUGACUUUGGCCUCUUCCACAGCUUAGAGUGCAGUAUGUUUUUCCACAAAGGUUUGUGGUGGAGACCUUACCAUCCAGCUCACUCUGGGAGAUGUGAACCAUUAAAAUUUUUUUACAGAGCUCACUUACUUUUAAGAUCUUCCAUUUUACAGAUGAGAAGACAGAGGCUAAGUAAACUGCCAAGGAGAACCAGGCAUGGGAACUCAGACAGUUUGACUCCAGGGAUGGCCUUUCCACCACUGCAUAUUAUAGGUGUUCUACUUGACAGUUGUAAAUGGUCAGGCUCAAUAGGAGGUACCCCCCCUGCCACCUCCCACUCAAGCAAUGGAGCAAUUGUCAUCAAUUUUUUUAUAGUAACUUUUUUCUGCAUAUGUUUUAUUUUAUGUUUUUGCUUUUAUUUAUUUAUUUUUUUUAGGGCCACGUGUGUGGCAUAUGGAAGUUCCCAGGCUAGGGGUCGAAUCGGAGCUGCAGCUGCCAACCUACACCACAGGUCACAGCAAUGCCGGAUCCUUAACCCACUGAGCGAGGCUAGGGCUCGAACCCACAUCCUUCUGGAAACUAGUCGGGUUCUUAACCCUGUGAGCCACAAUGGGAACUCUUCUGCAUGUGUUUUAGAUAACUAUAUUCAUAAUGACAAACAGUAUACAUUUUAAUGCUCUGAUUUUAAAAUGUUACAUCACAAGCAUUUCUUUGUAGUGCUUUUCUUUAUAGUAUCAUUCCAAAUGUGCUCUAGCUUUAAAGCAGUUCUUCCUCUUUUGUGGAACUCUCUGUUGUUUCCAAUUUUAUGGUGUUUGGUAUAAUCUGGGAACGAGUAUCUUGAGGCAUAUAGCUGCUUCUUCUUCUUUAUUUUUUUCUUUUCUGUAAAUGACCAGAGAUAAGAUUAUUGGAUCAAAGACUAAGUAAUCUAUGGCCCUGAAUCUUAUUGCCACUUGAAUUUCAGGUCAAUGGUUUUAUUUCAUAUCCUAUGCUUUUUUUGUUGUAUCCUCUCAAACACUGGGUGUCAACAAAUAAUUUCUUUCCUAUUUGAUACACAAACAAAGGUGAGGUUGGUUUAAUUUAAAUUGGUUUUAUUUCUAAGAAUGGCAGUUGUGCAAAUGGCUCUCUAGCUUCUAGGAAUCCCUUCAUAAUCCUCUGGAGUUGCCACCUCUCAGGCUGAGAAAAAUCUCUUUCACGUUCCUGAGGCUUGGUGAUAUCUUUUCUCUUAAAAAACCCACAGGUUAGUUCUAAUGAUAAAUUUAACAAAGACAUGCAAAUUGUAGAAAAUCUUAAAACAUGGAUACGUUUUUAAAAAGAGAACAAUCAGGAGCU